Molecule: non-coding RNA, 262 nt
Organism: Lachnoclostridium sp. An14
Lineage: Bacteria; Bacillati; Bacillota; Clostridia; Lachnospirales; Lachnospiraceae
Rfam family: Bacterial large signal recognition particle RNA
About the family: The signal recognition particle (SRP) is a universally conserved ribonucleoprotein involved in the co-translational targeting of proteins to membranes. Archaeal SRP consists of a 7S RNA and homologues of the eukaryotic SRP19 and SRP54 proteins.
Source: Rfam
CCGUGCAGCCGGGGAGAUAGCGGUGCCCUGUACCUGCAAUCCGCUCUAGCAGGGGUGAUGUCCUGUCCCGGACAUUUUACUGCAGAGCUGCCUUUCGUAAGCGGCGAUGACGUUUGGGUCUUGCGCAAUAGGAAUUCAUGAACCGUGUCAGGGCAGGAAUGCAGCAGCACUAAGUGAAACCUCCUAUGUGCCGCAAGGCAGCCUGGACUGAGCUGGCUGCGGGAGUAACGUCUGUGGUGGAUGUACAAAACAGGACGCACGG